RNA transcript from Lemur catta (Ring-tailed lemur), 3446 nucleotides. It is a transcript of the gene named cadherin 24, with no coding region annotated. The record is from RefSeq and is a predicted model, not a curated record. The transcript has 14 exons. Lineage: Eukaryota; Metazoa; Chordata; Mammalia; Primates; Lemuridae.
CCGGGGCCGCUCAGACCUGCAGCGGAGCCGCGGCGCCCGCUCGGAUCGGCUCGGGGCUGCGCCCCCGGGACCCCGCGACGGGGGCGGGGGGGGCGCUCCCCGCCGGCCUGGGCCCCUCGGCAGUGCCAGGUGUGGAUCCAUGGGGUAGCCCCAGCGCAUCUGCCCUUCUACCCCAGCCAGCUCAAUGGGCCACCUGGCCCAGCCCAACCUCAGCACACAGGGCCAGUGAACAGAGCCCUGGCUGGAGUCCAAACAUGUGGGGCCUGGUGAGGCUUCUGCUGGCCUGGCUGGGUGGCUGGGGCUGCAUGGGGCAUCUGGCAGCCCCAGCCCGGGCCUGGGCCAGGUCCCAGAGGCACCCAGGCCCUGCACUGCUGCGGACCCGAAGGAGCUGGGUCUGGAACCAGUUUUUUGUCAUUGAGGAAUAUGCCGGUCCAGAGCCUGUCCUCAUUGGCAAGCUGCACUCGGAUGUUGACCGGGGAGAGGGCCGCACCAAGUACCUGUUGACCGGGGAGGGGGCAGGUACCGUAUUUGUGAUUGACGAGGCCACAGGCAAUAUCCAUGUCACCAAGAGUCUGGACCGGGAGGAGAAGGCACAAUAUGUGCUACUGGCCCAAGCUGUGGACCGAGCCUCCAACCGGCCCCUGGAGCCGCCAUCAGAGUUCAUCAUCAAAGUGCAAGACAUCAAUGACAAUCCACCCAUUUUUCCCCUCGGGCCCUACCACGCCACAGUGCCAGAGAUGUCUAAUGUUGGGACAUCAGUAAUCCAGGUGACUGCUCAUGAUGCCGAUGACCCCAGCUAUGGGAACAGUGCCAAGCUGGUGUACACCAUUCUGGAUGGACUGCCUUUCUUCUCUGUGGACCCCCAGACUGGAGUGGUGCGGACAGCCAUCCCCAACAUGGACCGGGAAACACAGGAGGAGUUUUUGGUGGUGAUCCAGGCCAAGGACAUGGGCGGCCACAUGGGGGGGCUGUCGGGCAGCACUACGGUGACCGUCACCCUCAGUGAUGUCAACGACAACCCCCCCAAGUUCCCUCAGAGCCUGUAUCAGUUCUCUGUGGUGGAGACAGCUGGGCCUGGCACGCUGGUGGGCCGGCUUCGGGCCCAAGACCCAGACCUGGGGGACAACGCCCUUAUGGCAUACAGCAUCCUGGACGGUGAGGGGUCUGAGGCCUUCAGCAUCAGCACAGACUCCCAGGGACGAGACGGGCUCCUCACUGUCCGCAAGCCACUAGACUUCGAGACCCGUCGCUCCUACUCCUUCCGCGUGGAGGCCACCAACACACUCAUCGACCCAGCCUAUCUGCGGCGAGGGCCCUUCAAGGAUGUGGCCUCUGUGCGUGUGGCUGUGCAGGAUGCCCCAGAGCCCCCUGCCUUUACCCAGGCCGCCUACCUCCUGGCUGUGCCUGAGAACAAGGCUCCUGGGACCCUGGUGGGCCAGAUCUCAGCUGCUGACCUGGACUCCCCUGCCAGUCCCAUCAGAUAUUCCAUCCUCCCCCACUCGGACCCGGAGCGCUGCUUCUCUAUUGAGCCUGAAGACGGCACCAUCCACACAGCCGCGCCCCUGGACCGUGAGGCUCAUGUCUGGCACAACCUCACCGUGCUGGCCACAGAGCUCGACAGCUCUGCACAGGCCUCCCGAGUGCAAGUGGCCAUCCAGACCCUGGAUGAAAAUGACAAUGCUCCACAGCUGGCUGAGCCCUAUGACACCUUUGUGUGUGAUUCUGCAGCCCCUGGCCAGCUGAUUCAGGUCAUCCGGGCCCUGGACAGAGACGAAGAUGGCAACAGUAGCCGUGUCUCCUUUCAAGGUCCCCUGGGCCCUGAUGCCAACUUUACUAUCCGAGAUAACCGAGAAGAUGGCUCUGCCAGCCUGCUGCUGCCCUCCCGCCCUGCUCCGCCCCGCCAGGCCCCCUACCUGGUUCCCAUAGAACUGUGGGACUGGGGGCAACCCUCACUGAGCAGCACUGCCACAGUGACUGUCAGCGUGUGCCGCUGCCGGCCUGAUGGUUCUGUGGCAUCCUGCCGGCCCGAGGCUCAGCUCUCAGCCACUGGGCUCAGCACUGGUGCCCUGCUUGCCAUCGUCACCUGUGUGGGUGCCCUGCUUGCCCUGGUGGUGCUCUUCGUGGCCUUGCGGCGGCAGAAGCAGGAAGCGCUGAUGGUCCUGGAGGAGGAGGAUGUCCGGGAGAACAUCAUCACCUACGACGACGAGGGCGGCGGCGAGGAGGACACGGAGGCCUUUGACAUCACGGCCCUGCAGAACCCCGACGGGGCGGCCCCGCCGGCGCCUGGCCCCCCAGCGCGCCGCGAUGUGCUGCCCCGGGCCCGGGCGCCGCGCCAGCCCAGGCCACCGGGCCCUGCAGACGUGGCGCAGCUCCUCGCACUGCGGCUCCGCGAGGCGGACGAGGACCCCAGCGUGCCCCCGUACGACUCGGUGCAGGUGUACGGCUACGAGGGCCGGGGCUCCUCCUGCGGCUCCCUCAGCUCCCUGGGCUCCGGCAGCGAAGCCGGUGGCGCCCCCGGCCCCGCAGAGCCGCUGGACGACUGGGGUCCGCUCUUCCGCACCCUGGCCGAGCUGUAUGGGGCCAAGGAGCCCCCGGGCCUCUGAGCGCCGUGGAGGGGCAGCGGCACAGGCCCUCUGAGUGAGCCCCACGGGGUCCGGGCAGGCGGCAGCAGCCCAGGGGCCCAGGCCUCCUCCCUGUCCCUGUGUCUUUCCUUCCCCAGGGCACCCUUGCUCUUCCCUCCUUGUCCUCCUGAGUCUGUUUGUCUCUCUCCAGGGAUCCUUGUCUCUGUCUGUGACACUGUCCUGGUCUGGGCUUUGAGGCUCUGACCCUGAGCCUGUGUCCUCGCACUGUGAUGCCUCUCCGUUCUCUGUGGCUGUUUGUCUCUGCAGUUGGAAACCUCUCUCUCUCCCUCUCUCUCUCCCUCUCUCUCCCUCUCUCUCUCUCUCUCUCUCUCACGCACACGCACGCUGUCUCCCUUGCCCACACACAUGCUCUGUUUCUGUCUCCUGCCCACAUCUCCCUUCCUUCGCUGGGUCCCUGUGACUGGCUUUUUGGUUUUUUUCUGUUGUCCAUCCCCAAAAUCAAGAGAAACUUCCAGCACUGCUGCCCACCCUCCCGCAGGGGAUGCUCUCUGCCCCAGACCUGCCCACAUGGUUCCAUCCAUCACUCAUGGCCUCAUCCUGGCUCCACUGGCCUCCAGCAGGGAGAGGGAGCCAGCCGCCUCCCAGGGCGAGAGCUCCAGCCUCCCACGUGGCCGCCUCCCUGGAGCUCUGCCCAGCUGUCAGCCGCCCUGGGCAUCCCAGCUCUAGGCAUUGUCUUGUGUGCUCCCCAGGCCCCAGGGGGAGCAGGGAAGGAAAGGGGGAGGCAGCUGGGGAAGGGGAAAGAGGGAGGAAGGGGAGGGGCCUCCAUCUCUAAUUUCAUAAUAAACAAACACUUUAUUUUGUAAA